Olea europaea var. sylvestris is the source of this 1668-nucleotide long non-coding RNA. RefSeq lists it as uncharacterized. The transcript is spliced from 2 exons. Lineage: Eukaryota; Viridiplantae; Streptophyta; Magnoliopsida; Lamiales; Oleaceae. The record is from RefSeq and is a predicted model, not a curated record.
UUAACCUAUACUAAAUCUAAGUUAAGCUAUAUUGUUAGCUUUUUAUUGGAGUUAAAAAAACUUCUGCAAUUCGGAUCUCUCACGGCAGCCUCAGUAAACAAAUGGACAUAGAACCUUAUUUCAAGGGCAGUAUUUGAAUAUUUCACUUUAUAUAGAAGAAAUCCACCAAAUCUACCAAAAUGAACUCUACUGAACUACUCCAACUCUGGUUUGUGCUCUGUUUAUUUCCUAAAAAUACUUUUGGAAAUAUCAAAUUUCUUAGAUGGUAAGGCCAUGAGCACAUAUUUCCCCAAAUCUUCAAAUAUCUUAUAAUUUAAGCUAGUAACAAAUCAGCAAAACUAUACAGAAAUUGAGCUUUUUGAGUUAUUUUAUUAACACCAAGGAUAUUGAUAAUGACUUUCUACACACACUGGUGGAAGUUGUGCCAGUGUGCCCCCGAUUGAGGUGACGGCCAGGCAGUGAGGAGAGGUUUUUUCCCUUUUAAGAUUUGGAAUGGGUUUAGGUGGGAAGUGCGUUAUAUGGGGAAAAUUGAUGUGAUCGAAGUGUGGCCGAAAAUGUUAACAACUGAUGGUGGAAGUGCCGCCCUCCGACUAAGGUGAUGGCGGGCUUGGAGGGAAGGGUUUUCUCCUUAUUCAGUGUCGAAAUGGGUAGGGAAAAUCAAUAAUGGUUCUUCCUUCUCAGAGCCUCCUUUUCAUGUGUUAACUUUUUUUAAAAUUUUAUGCCCAAUUUUUUUUACAAUCUCGCUAUUCGUACAUAAGAGUACAGGGUUACUUGACAGAAUGACAUGGCAAUUUUGAAAAGAAAAAAGGAAACAAAAUGGGGGGAUUACUUUCUGGUCCAAAUCCAACAUUUUAUUUUAUCCCCAAAUUGGAUGAACCCUAGCGACAAAAAAUUUCUUCUCUCCACCCCAACGUCAUCCUUCUUCUCCAAAUCUGUCAGACAAUGAAACGACCCCAACAGUAUACAUCUGAUCUAGUUAUUUGGGUAUUCAUUUCGCAGCCAGUCGAUCGGUCUUUUGUCAUUGGCAACCGCGAGCACCAUCACUUGAAGCGGAAUCUAUAGCAAACUUGUUGCUUACUAUGGCCGGAAAAAAUCAUGGAAUAUGUCAUAGUUGUAGAUGCUACGGUCACUUCUUUGCGGAGUGCCCAAAUAAACGUCCAUGCCCGUGGUGUAAACAUGCAAUUGUGAAGUGUUUUCAAGUUGAGAAGGAUAGUAAGAAGAAAGGUAAAUUGUUCAAUUGUUGCACUGCAAACUGCGGAUUAGGAGUGGGUUAAAGAGGGUGAAACGAGCGGUGAAUCAAGUGUCAUUGGCAUUACCUCCACUAAACUUGUGGUGCCUGAAUUAGUUCAAGAUGUCUCAUGUUCAAAACCAUCCGUCGGCUAACUUAUGAAAAAGAUGUGGAGAUUUCCGUAAAUGUGACAAUACACAAAGGACAAGCGACUGUGGAAGAGGAUAAGAAAUGAACGUGGUGGGUCUAAGUUGUAGUUGUUGAUGUAAUAAAAUUGCUCUUUAACUUUGGCGGAGACAUCAUUUCGAUGCCUACUUUGUGGUUAACGUAGUGUGAAAUUUGUGUACUGCUAUUUAACUGAUAUGGGGGCUUCAUUUUGAUGCCUACUAUGUGGUUAAUGUAAUGUGAAAUCUGUGUAGUAAUGUUAUGGAGUUUUUGAA